UGGCGGCGCCCCGCCGCGAAGCCGCUUUCCCCGCGCGCAAGCGCCUCUCGGGAAAGUACGCUUUCAAUCUCAGAAAGCGUAUUCUUCCUCUGCUUCGGCCGGGAAUACGUUUCCCUUUUUGGAAAACGUAUUUUCAGAGAAGACACGUUCUGUUUAAACUACCAGGGACCUGUUUGUAGAAGUAUUUUUACAGACUAGUCCCUGAGCUUUAAACGUCUGUAUCUUUUUACCCGUAACUCCGAAUCAGGUGAAUCCAAAGCCCACGUCUUCGUUUCAUCGAGCUCUUUCCAUUGGUAUCAUUUUCAUUAUGUUUUCACAUAGUGAAAAUGACCAUUUGCCCUUUACCAUAAACAGCCUCCUCUGAGAGAGAACUAUUUCCGGCAAAUCUUUCCGCGAUCGUUUCCCACUUCUUCCCGGAGUAUUUAUCGACCCCCAGGCAAGCCAACCUCUUAUCAUGAGCCCCGAACUUGCAUGUUGACUUUGCUUGCACCUUGUGCGUGUGUAGUUGCAGUUGUUUCAUAAAGUUUUCAUCUGCAGUUAUUCCGUUAUGCUGUCUUGCAUGCUUGUGUUUUCAUGAUAUCUUUUGCCAUGCUAAUUAGAAUGUUAUUAUUAAUAAUGCCAUGUUACUACUCUACUUUACUUACAUGUCAUCAUUAUAAAAUGAUAUGAGGAUUGUAAUGCACCGUUGAUAUGCUAUUGUCAUGUUCUUUAUGUUAUAGUUGUGCACUUGAGGAGUUCGAUAUUUUCCCAUGCAUUUGUAUGCUGCAUGCUCAUUGUUGCAUCCAUGUUAAAUAUGUUCAUGAUGAUGGAGAAGGAAAUAAAAUGACUUAAUAAUAACAAACCUCCUCCGUCAUUGAUGGGAUCGAGUCAUAGUGCCGCCAAAUCGAACUUUUUCAGUGCAACCACAUUUGCCUUUGUGGGAAGGCCUUAAUGCGAGCUAUUGUCGUGACCUCUCGUCGGUGCCUCCAACUAGGGAAGGUUAUGGGCAUGCUUACACUAAUCAGGUAGGUAGACAUAACUUUGUGUGCUCGUUGAUGAGAUUAUGGUACCGAGUCCCCGAGUGGGAGUGUCCCCGAGUGGGAGUGUUUUGACCACGACGGUGGUCGGGGUGUCUUUGGUAGACACGGGGCCACCCAGGACCAGCCCAUUGGGGAUUUGGGUCGGAGUGGCCGGGAGAGUGUCAUGGUAGUAGAUCGGUUUCGUCGGAAUGCCAUUGGUCCACCCGAAUGAGAUGACAAGGCUAUGGGUUCCGUGGUGUGGGUACAGUGUGCUACCUCUGCAGAGUGUAUAAAGUCUAUCGAUAGCAACAGUUCGUAGUAGGUCCCACUAUCAGGUCUUGGUCAAAAUGGAGGAUAAACCGAAGUAAUUAAGUUGACAAAUAAAUAUGUGAUAACAAAAAUAUGGUGACUUGGACUAUGAUAUAGUCGUGAGAAGUCACAGUGAUGUUUUGGUGGUGAUCACCGAAAGGAUCACGGUUUGAGGCCAAGUUUUGGUCGUGGUGGUGAUCGCCGUAAGGAUCACGAGUUACUCUGGUCAAGACCACGAUGGUGGUUUGGUGGUGAUCGCCGUAAGGAUCACGAGUUAUUCUGGUCAUGGUUGUGAUCACCGGAAAGAUCAUUGUUCGGUUGCGAGGCAACCCGAUGAUAAGAGAGUCCGAGGGACUCGGUGUACAAGUUUGCGUACAUUGCAUGAGUAAUAUAUCAUUAUUUGCAUUUAAAGAACCAUGAUAGAACAGAAGGUGAUUGCAUAAAGUUAAUAUGCUAUGUCUGCAUUGGAUAUUAUUGGUAGUUUACUUUCAACAUAGCUUCAUGAUGCCUUUAUGCCAUGUUAGAAGCAUGUUUGGAUAUGCCAUGUUAUUGCCAUGUUAGCAGAUGCUAUGAUUUUGUUCAUGAUUAGUUGAUUUUUAUCAUGCCAUGUUUAGUAAUUGAUAUGAGAUAGGUUGUUCCAUGCGCUCAUUUCUUGCUAGUCUUCUGCUUGUUUGGAUGCUAUGUAUUUGGUUGUCUUGCAAGUACAUUCAAAGUACUGACCUGGCGUGUCAUGCCAGUUUUGUAGGUCAUACCCGUAUUGUUCGCUUGAUCCGUCGUGCUAGGCCGUAACCUUGCCAGUCCUGUGAGUUGUGGAGCCUAGCCAGAGUUGUUAUGCUGCCAAACCAAGACUUCCGCUGCCAUUAAAUCAGACUUCCGCUGUCAUUUAAUAGCCUUAGGGCUAGGCCAGAUAAUUGUAUUCAUCAAUGAUGUAAUCUCAUAUACAUGUAUUUGAUGAAUAUUCUUGUACCUGGAAUGCUGUAUUAUGGACCUGUCGUCCGUCAGGUGUUAUCCUGG
This 2321-nucleotide long non-coding RNA is filed under the name Triticum aestivum (bread wheat). Its description in RNAcentral is "long non-coding RNA (TAES_LNC025867)". The record is from RNAcentral. Lineage: Eukaryota; Viridiplantae; Streptophyta; Magnoliopsida; Poales; Poaceae.